CGCGCAGGUGGUCCACUAAGCCCGGCGUGAAAGCCCCCGGCUCAACCGGGGAGGGUCGUCGGGGACUGGUGGACUUGAGGGUGGCAGGGGCUGGUGGAAUUCCCGGUGUAGUGGUGAAAUGCGUAGAGAUCGGGAGGAACACCCGUGGCGAAGGCGGCCAGCUGGGCCAACCCUGACACUGAGGCGCGAAGGCGUGGGGAGCGAACG
RNAcentral lists this ribosomal RNA (207 nucleotides) under uncultured bacterium. RNAcentral's name for it is "partial 16S ribosomal RNA". It matches the Rfam family "Bacterial small subunit ribosomal RNA", at positions 568 to 774 of the family's 1533-position model. The record is from RNAcentral.